UCUGCAAAGGAAUAUCUGUUCUAUGGGAAUUAUGGACUGAAGGAGUGCUCUUUCUGCACUGUUUGAGGAUUACAAAAGACUGUGAUCUAAAAAUAACGCUGACUGAAGGAAUAUAACUGAACUCUACUAUUUCCAAAGGAUUAACACCAGAAUGGAUUAACAAAGUUUUUACUGGCCCAAAGAACAAAAAUGGAUACAAGCAGAUCUAAAUCUGGACCGAACCCCCUCCACCUCCUCCCUGGAGCAGAGCCCCAGCGGGGCAUCGGUCUUCAGACCAAAGAACUACAGACUCUUCACAACCUGCUCAAACUCUUGGUACAGGACCUCACCACACGGGUCAAGAAAGUUUCUGUCUCAUUUCUACUCUGAAGAUCACCUUCUCCUGCUCAAAUUGCUGACAAAUGUUUCUGCUGCUCUAAAGUCUGGUCUCCAGAACUUCCUAUAAACUCUCAAAGUGUCUUCUGCUGCAGGUUGCUUUGUAGAACUGUUACAGAAAACCUCACUAAACCACAUGGAGGUGCCUCAAGAUAGUCGUCCAAAUGAAACCGUACAAAAACCAAACUAGCACAACCCAAACACUAAAGUCUCCUGCAGCCUACCAGAGAACCUCUGAGAACAGAGAAUCAGGACAGGAACUCUUACCUUCUGG
Long non-coding RNA from Amphiprion ocellaris (clown anemonefish), 649 nucleotides. NCBI's taxonomy places the organism in Eukaryota, Metazoa, Chordata, Actinopteri, Pomacentridae. The record is from Ensembl.